GGUACUUUUGGUGUGACUGACCUAUCACUCCUGUUUAAAGAAGUGCAACAGCAUGAGAAGCAAAUAGUGCUGGUAGCACAUGGAAAUUGAGAACUGUGCGAAAGUUUUCUACAAACAGUGAAGGACAGCCGGUUUUUCACCUAUGUGGCUGGAAAGCUAAAACACAAUGGCGACCAUCAUACAAAAUAAAAAUGGAUCAGCUAAAUUGAAGGCUCUUUGAGUGAAAUCCAGUUAAGUUUCAUAGUAGAGACUAUCCUUUUCAAGUGGGGAAUCGCACAGUAAACCAAACCUGACAACUUGACAACCUGUCUAUGCCAGACAACACCACAUUGUGUGGGAAUGGAUUCCACCAGCUGCAGCCUACCUUAACAGGAACAUAUGACGUCUAUGGCCUGCGACCAUUAUAAUGUAAUGUUUCUAAAAUUUAUAACUAAUAUCUGAUGCUGCUCAGCUUGUCUUCUUGAAAUGACUUUAUGCUUGUGUGAGUAAAUGUGUUAAAUAACGUAUGGUUAAGAAAUAUAUUGUGUAUAAUGUACUUUUACUUUAACCAAUGAAAUUUGUAAUGCAUUGUUUUAUUUUUACUUUGUCAUUCACAUUUCUGUUCAUAAUUGACCUAUUAAAUGUCUUCAAAGAUUAUGAAAAAGAGCGAUUUUGCUGCAGUGCUUGCAAUCUGCCCUGGAUUAGGAGAGAUGGAUGGAUAUUUUAUAUGAAAGCAAAUGUGUCCCAAUAUUCAAAUUAAAAUGUAUUAAUAAAAUGCUUUUUCAUUUUCAAAA
Molecule: long non-coding RNA, 773 nt
Organism: Girardinichthys multiradiatus
Lineage: Eukaryota; Metazoa; Chordata; Actinopteri; Cyprinodontiformes; Goodeidae
Exons: 2
Source: RefSeq, a predicted model, not a curated record